UACGUAGGAGGCAAGCGUUGUCCGGAAUUACUGGGCGUAAAGCGCGUGUAGGUGGUGGGACAAGUCUGCUGUGAAAGCGCCUGGCUUAACCGGGCGAGGUCGGCGGAAACUGUCCGACUCGAGGACGGUAGAGGGGGGUGGAAUUCCCGGUGUAGUGGUGAAAUGCGUAGAGAUCGGGAGGAACACCUGUGGCGAAGGCGGCCCCCUGGGCCGGACCUGACGCUGAGACGCGAAGGCGUGGGGAGCGAACGGG
This 253-nucleotide ribosomal RNA is filed under the name uncultured bacterium. RNAcentral describes it as "partial 16S ribosomal RNA". It matches the Rfam family "Bacterial small subunit ribosomal RNA", at positions 524 to 776 of the family's 1533-position model. The record is from RNAcentral.